This 27-nucleotide non-coding RNA is filed under the name Mus musculus (house mouse). Lineage: Eukaryota; Metazoa; Chordata; Mammalia; Rodentia; Muridae. The record is from RNAcentral.
UGAGCGUGUUUGGUUUGGAUUGCAUGA